Cervus elaphus (red deer) is the source of this 344-nucleotide long non-coding RNA. RefSeq lists it as uncharacterized. The record is from RefSeq and is a predicted model, not a curated record. Lineage: Eukaryota; Metazoa; Chordata; Mammalia; Artiodactyla; Cervidae. The transcript has 3 exons.
GCUGGAAAAGCCAGAGUGUUACUAAAUUCUGCGCUUCUCUAACUUGACCCUCCUUCUUGACUGCGCUGUGCAAGUCUGCAAAGCCUCACCCGUUUCCCAGAACCUUUCUAAUAUUAAUACCUCUAGCCCAAACAUCUCCUGCAUUCUGCCACGGGAGCUUCCAUGGAUAAAUACAGGGAAGCAGGCUGGAGCUGCCACUGACAGCUAACCACACAAGACUCCAGACCAAUCAGAGUACGACAGUCAACAGAAGAGAGUGAGGUUGUGACAAGUCUAACCAGGAGGACAGCAGUCAUGUAUGGAUGUGAGAGCUGAACCAUAAAGAAAGCUGAGCACCAAACAAU